Molecule: RNA transcript, 1218 nt
Organism: Triticum aestivum (bread wheat)
Lineage: Eukaryota; Viridiplantae; Streptophyta; Magnoliopsida; Poales; Poaceae
Gene name: glutenin, low molecular weight subunit-like
Exons: 1
Source: RefSeq, a predicted model, not a curated record
ACAAGCAUCAAAACCAAGCAACACUAGUUGACAUCAAUCCACAAUGAAGACAUUCCUCGUCUUUUCCCUCCUCGCUCUUGCGGCGGCAAGUGCCGUUGCGCAAAUUUCACAGCAACAACAACAACAACAACCAUUUCCGCAGCAACAACAACCACCAUUUUCGCAGCAACAAGAGCCACCAUAUUCACAGCAAUAGCAACCACCAUUUUCGCAACAACAACAAUCACCAUUUUCGCAGCAACAACAACAACAACCACCAUUUUUGCAGCAACACCAACCACCGUUUUCACAACAGCCACCAAUUUCACAGCAGCAACAACCACCAUUUUCACAGCAACAACAACCACCAUUUUCACAGCAACAACAACCACCAUUUUCGCAGCAGCAACAACAACAACCACCAUUUUCACAACAACAACAACCACCGUUUUCACAACAGCCACCAAUUUCACAGCAACAACAACCACCAUUUUCGCAGCAACAACAACCACCAUUUUCACAGCAACAACAAAUACCAGUUAUUCAUCCAUCUGUUUUGCAGCAACUAAACCCAUGCAAGGUAUUCCUCCAGCAGCAGUGCAUCCCUGUGGCAAUGCAGCGAUGUCUUGCUAGGUCACAAAUGUUGCAGCAGAGGAUUUGCCAUGUGAUGCAGCAACAAUGUUGCCAACAGUUGCGGCAAAUCCCCGGGCAAUCCCGCCAUGAGUCAAUCCGUGCUAUCAUCUACUCUAUCAUCCUGCAGCAACAACAACAACAACAACAACAAGUUCAGAGUAUCAUCCAAGCUCAGCAACAACAACCCCAACAGUUGGGCCAAUGUGUCUCCCAACCCCAACAACAAUCGCAGCAGCAACUCGGGCAACAACCUCAACAACAACAAUUGGCACAGGGUACCUUUUUGCAGCCACACCAGAUAGCUCAAUUUGAGGUGAUGACUUCCAUUGCACUCCGUACCUUGCCAACGAUGUGCAAUGUCAACGUGCCGUUGUACGGAACCACCACUAGUGCGCCAUUCGGCGUUGGCACUGGAGUUGGUGCCUACUGAUAAGAAAAGAUCUCUAUUAAUAUAUAGUUGGAUCACCGUUGUUUAGUCGAUGGAUAUGUCGAUGUAGCGGUGACAAAUAAAGUGUCACACAACACCAUGUGUGACCCGCCCAAACUAGUUGUUUAAAUUCUGAAAUAAAAUACAAAUAAAGUUGUAUCAAGACAAUGUUCAUAUCA